RNAcentral lists this ribosomal RNA (429 nucleotides) under uncultured beta proteobacterium. RNAcentral's name for it is "bacterial SSU rRNA". It matches the Rfam family "Bacterial small subunit ribosomal RNA", at positions 355 to 776 of the family's 1533-position model. The record is from RNAcentral. Lineage: Bacteria; Pseudomonadati; Pseudomonadota; Betaproteobacteria.
UGGGGAAUUUUGGACAAUGGGGGCAACCCUGAUCCAGCCAUGCCGCGUGAGUGAAGAAGGCCUUCGGGUUGUAAAGCUCUUUCGGCGGGAACGAAAGCGCACUUAUUAAUACUAGGUGUGUAUGACGGUACUCGCAGAAGAAGCACCGGCUAACUACGUGCCAGCAGCCGCGGUAAUACGUAGGGUGCGAGCGUUAAUCGGAAUUACUGGGCGUAAAGCGUGCGCAGGCGGUUAUUUAAGACAGGCGUGAAAGCCCCGGGCUUAACCUGGGAGGUGCGCUUGUGACUGGAUAGCUAGAGUACGGCAGAGGGGGGUGGAAUUCCACGUGUAGCAGUGAAAUGCGUAGAGAUGUGGAGGAACACCGAUGGCGAAGGCAGCCCCCUGGGCUAGUACUGACGCUCAGGCACGAAAGCGUGGGGAGCAAACAGG